This 147-nucleotide ribosomal RNA is filed under the name uncultured Bacteroidota bacterium. RNAcentral's name for it is "uncultured Bacteroidetes bacterium partial 16S ribosomal RNA". It matches the Rfam family "Bacterial small subunit ribosomal RNA", at positions 274 to 420 of the family's 1533-position model. The record is from RNAcentral. Lineage: Bacteria; Pseudomonadati; Bacteroidota.
CCACGAUAAAUAGGGGCCCUGAGAGGGGGAUCCCCCACACUGGUACUGAGACACGGACCAGACUCCUACGGGAGGCAGCAGUGAGGAAUAUUGGACAAUGGACGAAAGUCUGAUCCAGCCAUGCCGCGUGCAGGAUGACGGCCCUAU